UCUUAGUUGCUUCAUAAUCAAGAAAAGAAGAAUAAGAAAAGAAAAAAAAAGAUCAAGAAAAAGAUCAAAGAGUUAAUCACAAUCUAGGCUUCGUUCAGAUUUGUAGGGUGAUCAUUCUUAGAGAAGAAAGAUCAACUUCAUAGAGGGCUUUUCCAGACUAAUCUUGAGUAGAUACCAUAGAGGUCAGGCACUUUUGCAGCUA
RNAcentral lists this long non-coding RNA (202 nucleotides) under Elaeis guineensis (African oil palm). RNAcentral describes it as "long non-coding RNA (EGUI_LNC066410)". Lineage: Eukaryota; Viridiplantae; Streptophyta; Magnoliopsida; Arecales; Arecaceae. The record is from RNAcentral.